AUGGCUGUCGUCAGCUCGUGUCGUGAGAUGUUGGGUUAAGUCCCGUAACGAGCGCAACCCUUAUCCUUAGUUGCCAGCGAGUAAUGUCGGGAACUCUAAGGAGACUGCCGGUGACAAACCGGAGGAAGGCGGGGACGACGUCAAGUCAUCAUGGCCCUUAUGGGUAGGGCUACACACGUGCUACAAUGGCCGGUACAGAUGGAAGCGAAGUGGCAACAUGGAGCAAAACCUAAAAAGCCGGUCGUAGUCCGGAUUGGAGUCUGCAACUCGACUCCAUGAAGUCGGAAUCGCUAGUAAUCGCGAAUCAGCAUGUCGCGGUGAAUACGUUCCCGGGCCUUGUACACACCGCCCGUCACACCAUGGGAGUGGGCUGCACCAGAAGCAGAUAGUCUAACCCGUAAGGGGGGGCGUUUGCCACGGUGUGGUUCAUGACUGGGGUGAAGUCGUAACAAGGUAGCCGUACCGGAAGGUGCGGCUGGAUCACCUCCUUUCUAAGGAGCUCACUGCCUGGAAUUAUCACAAUUCCAGGAACUCCUACGUCGAUCACUGGUCAGCUGGCAUUCGGCCAAUUCCGACCCCGCUCAGCCUCGUGCUGAACGGCACCACCGGGACCCGGAUUGCCGGCGUGCGCGUCACUGUUCCGUUUUGAGGGAGCGGUCGCUCGGGCUUCACGCCCGGAGGCUGCUACCUCGAGGUCAGAUCCGCCCCCGCCGCCCCGCAUUGCGGGGCUGGCGCGCGGACGACUUCAACGCCCCUUGAGAACCGCAGAGCGAGCACGAGCAUCUAGCAAACAGUGCAAGACGAAAAUCCCAAGCUAUAAAGAGCCAACGGUGGAUGCCUUGGCGCCAGAUGCCGAUGAAGGACGUGGGUGGCUGCGAAAAGCCACGGUGAGCUGCCGACCAAGCAUUGACCCGUGGAUCUCCGAAUGGGGAAACCCGG
Molecule: small RNA, 939 nt
Filed under: uncultured Legionellaceae bacterium
Lineage: Bacteria; Pseudomonadati; Pseudomonadota; Gammaproteobacteria; Legionellales; Legionellaceae
Description: bacterial SSU rRNA
Rfam family: Bacterial small subunit ribosomal RNA (bases 1-491)
Source: RNAcentral